This 577-nucleotide ribosomal RNA is filed under the name uncultured bacterium. RNAcentral describes it as "partial 16S ribosomal RNA". It matches the Rfam family "Bacterial small subunit ribosomal RNA", at positions 355 to 919 of the family's 1533-position model. The record is from RNAcentral.
UGGGGAAUUUUGGACAAUGGGCGAAAGCCUGAUCCAGCAAUGCCGCGUGUGUGAAGAAGGCCUUCGGGUUGUAAAGCACUUUUGUCCGGAAAGAAAUCCUUGGCUCUAAUACAGUCGGGGGGAUGACGGUACCGGAAGAAUAAGCACCGGCUAACUACGUGCCAGCAGCCGCGGUAAUACGUAGGGUGCAAGCGUUAAUCGGAAUUACUGGGCGUAAAGCGUGCGCAGGCGGUUUGCUAAGACCGAUGUGAAAUCCCCGGGCUCAACCUGGGAACUGCAUUGGUGACUGGCAGGCUAGAGUAUGGCAGAGGGGGGUUAGAAUUCCACGUGUAGCAGUGAAAUGCGUAGAGAUGUGGAGGAAUACCGAUGGCGAAGGCAGCCCCCUGGGCCAAUACUGACGCUCAUGCACGAAAGCGUGGGGAGCAAAACAGGAUUAGAUACCCUGGUAGUCCACGCCCUAAACGAUGUCAACUAGUUGUUGGGGGACUUCAUUUUCCUUAGUAACGUAGCUAACGCGUGAAGUUGACCGCCUGGGGAGUACGGUCGCAAGAUUAAAACUUAAAUGAAUUGACGGGGU